This is a long non-coding RNA of Acanthochromis polyacanthus (spiny chromis), 1555 nucleotides long. RefSeq lists it as uncharacterized. The record is from RefSeq and is a predicted model, not a curated record. Lineage: Eukaryota; Metazoa; Chordata; Actinopteri; Pomacentridae. The transcript has 2 exons.
CCUCUGUACAAAAUGAAAUGAUCAUAUGCAACUGAUUCAGUCAACAGGUUGUUUUAAUGGAGAAAAAGGAGGAACAUAAAAAUAUAUGUCAGAGCUCCCUCCUCAACCCUGUCCUGUCGGACAUCCCAAACAUCCUAUCCUAUCUGUCUCCCGUGUUUACUUUUCUCUGUUGCUCUGCUCUCCCUCUCUCUCUCUUCUCUCUCCCCAGCACUGCACCUGAGUGGAGCUCGGUUCUCAGCUGUCUCCACUCAAGUGAUUAGAUUUGCCAUGAGAUCCGGACGACUGUGCCUCAUCCAUAAACUGUAUAUAAAGAUGGAUGUAGCAUCUGGCUCCAAAAUUGAAGCCAACCCGGAAGUGUCAAAAACUUGCAAUAUCACGCCGCCCGCUAGGGUUGGCUCCAGAAAGCUUUUGCUCCAUAGACCCCAAUUCAUUUUUGGAAAAAAUAAAAUUUGAUAGACUGAUUUUCUACAGCUCAGGAUUUUUUUCCCGUUAGUUUUCAUGGUCAAAAUGAGAGAUCAGGUGGCCGAUCUUAAAAUAAAUCAAUACUGAAUUUUAAAUAAAUCGUUAAAUUUGGCGGAGCCAGGGGGCGUGGCUAUACUUGAUAGACAGCAACAGAAGCCUCUGUGGUAAAAUGUGGGCGGGAUAAGAGAGUCUUCAGCCAAUCCUGCCCCUAGUUGCUCUGUGGUCCAGCUUGUUUGAUGACGCUUUUUACGUCACUGGCUCCAAAAAAUCCAAAACGGUGACCAGGAAGUAGCAAAAUCUGGGCUUCAUUUUCUCGGCGUUGAAACCAACGGGUGACAUCACGGUUAGUUCACGCCUGGCCUCAUCUCACUGAUUACAUCCUCUGCAAUAAAGACCGGCUGAAUCUUCCACACCCUGCCAGAUUGUUGCAUUCGACCACACAAAUCCUGCUGUCCGGGUUCUCAUGUGCCUCACCCGUUCGGAACCGAGUUGACAGACAAUUCGGCUCUCAUCCUGCCUGCCUGGAACUCAACCCUGGGUUGUUUUUUUGCCCUGUUCGGAUUACCUGUUCGGCUCUGUCCUCGGAGCCUCCAGCCACCCCAGUCCCGAUCCGCCUGUGGCUCUCUAUCAGUACCUUCCCGGGGUCAAGAGACGAUCACUGGCAACUGGCCCACCCACCAAGACGGCCCCCCCGGAUCGUCAGUGCUCAUCGUCCUCCAUCUCUCCUGCGCCGGCUCACGACUGCUGACGGCUGGCCCACUAUCCAUCACGCCCCCCCGGAUCAUCAGCGUCAGCCGACUUCCGUAUCUCCUGCUUCAGCUCACGACCGCUGUCGACUGGCCCACUCACCAGCACGGCCCCCCAGAUCAUCAGCGUUCCCAGUUCCCAGUAUCUCCUGCUCCUGUUUCGCUCAGCCCUCUGGCUGUAUCCGCCUCCGGCCGACAGGGAUCCGUCCGGCACCUGCCGCCGCACUCUGAUCCCCCCCAGAACUCCGACCCAAACCCACUCAGUCUCCACCCGUCCCCACGUAUCCUGGUUCUCUACACGCUGCUCCACAAUUCAUUCCCUGUGCAAUAAAAAUCACUUCAUUUCA